CCUUUGACGUUAGCGGCGGACGGGUGAGUAACACGUGGGUAACCUACCUAUAAGACUGGGAUGACUUCGGGAAACCGGAGCUAAUACCGGAUAAUAUUUCGAACCGCAUGGUUCGAUAGUGAAAGGUGGUUUUGCUAUCACUUAUAGAUGGACCCGCGCCGUAUUAGCUAGUUGGUAAGGUAACGGCUUACCAAGGCGACGAUACGUAGCCGACCUGAGAGGGUGAUCGGCCACACUGGAACUGAGACACGGUCCAGACUCCUACGGGAGGCAGCAGCC
RNAcentral lists this ribosomal RNA (279 nucleotides) under uncultured Staphylococcus sp. Its description in RNAcentral is "partial 16S ribosomal RNA". It matches the Rfam family "Bacterial small subunit ribosomal RNA", at positions 83 to 355 of the family's 1533-position model. The record is from RNAcentral. Lineage: Bacteria; Bacillati; Bacillota; Bacilli; Caryophanales; Staphylococcaceae.